Molecule: long non-coding RNA, 757 nt
Filed under: Carica papaya (papaya)
Lineage: Eukaryota; Viridiplantae; Streptophyta; Magnoliopsida; Brassicales; Caricaceae
Description: long non-coding RNA (CPAP_LNC007489)
Source: RNAcentral
UUAAUCACGGUCUAAAUUAAUAAAUUAAAAAAUAGUACUAUUAUUUUUAUUAUUAUAUAUAUAUAUAUAUAUACAAAAAAAAAUUAGAAAAAUCUAAGAGUAAAGGCAACUUGCUUUCCUCACACACCCGGCAGCGACACCAUCUCUUUUUGUUUUCUUCGUGCACGCGGUGGCAACACUUACUUUCUUCAUGCACACAGGCCGCGACACCACCUCUUAUUGCUUUCUUCAUGCACCGGACAAACACACGACACUUUUCCUCUUCAUCCUCUUGGUCUUCCUUUUUUCUUUUUUGAUGAAUAUGUUGAAAAAUAGAGAUAGCUAAGAGGGAUAAAUUAUAUAUAUAUAUAUAUACAUAUCAACGUAUAUACGCAUUGAAUGUAAAUAUUGUACUUUUUUAUUAGUAUUUAUUAAGUUUUUAAUAAAAUUAUAGAUAAGUGGAAGUAGGGAAAAAAAGAACAUUAACAAUAUGUAUGUAUGUACGUAUUUACAUAUAUUUUUUUUCAAGUAUUCUACAUGAUUAAUGGAAGGGAACAUUCCUCUCCCUUAAUAUCCAUUUCCACCAUAUCCAUAUCCUUAUCCUAAGGUAAGAAACUCCAUCUCUCUAACAACAUGCUCAAUGCACCAUUCUGCAACUUUUUUGUUUCCAAUCAGUGCUUCCAUAACCAGUUUGGACCACAUAGAUCAUUAAUCCUUGAGGUUUUCCCCUACAAUAGAACUGCUUCUACUUUAGUUAUCAAUGGAUUGAUAGCACUGG